Molecule: non-coding RNA, 73 nt
Organism: Cordylochernes scorpioides
Lineage: Eukaryota; Metazoa; Arthropoda; Arachnida; Pseudoscorpiones; Chernetidae
Source: the annotation of a GenBank genome assembly
GUCCUGGGAUGGGAAUCGAACCCACAAUGUUCCGCUUACCGGGCAGAUGCCAUGUCCACUAGGCUACCCUGGA